CAUCAUUUAAAAGGUUUUAUUUUUAAUUGUAAUUAGUCAAGGUAAACUUGAUCUACUUCUGCUUGCAGGGAACCUACUGGAACUGUUCCCACUGAGUUCAGUGAAUGCAAGAUCAGACUUGCCUGGCUGGCUGUUGCAGAGAGCUGUUGUUUCUGAUGAGACUUCCUGGUCAGGUGAUUUUAUUUGAGAUGAAAUCUGUAAUUUCCAAUCAUUUUUCCAUUCGAAUCUAUUAAUUUGCUGUGGCAAAGUUCCUGAGUAACCUCUGCCGACUGACUGACCCCCUCUGACUUUUGACCAAAUGUUCAAAUAGUUUUCCUAUUAGCAAUAGCCAGACACAGAGUUUUGGAUGGAACUUUGUAACAAGGAUUAUGUUUUGGCUUUUUAUUUGCAUGGUCUAAUUUCCCCCCUCAAAGACUGUUUCUAAUUCUCUUGAGAUUUCUCUCUUAUGAGAAAAAAAAAGUAGCACAGAAGAUGAAUUGCCAUAUAGUCAACGAAACAUUUUGGCUGCAAUCUGCUACCAGAAGUUCUUCCUGAGUCUCUGAGAACAUACCCUGUGACAGAGGAGAGAAAAUGAAGAACCUCAAGGAAAGAUGGAUAAAAUUCCUCUUCUUCCAGGGUCAGUCUUGCCUGUGGAAAGUUCCUGUGCAGAGCAGGAUCCUUGGCAAGAAUUCACCUCCCCCAGAAUGCAGCAAGUCUGGCUGCUUGUGCAGGGGAAGGUGCCAAAGGAGCCUGUGCACAGCUUGGGUCACAAGCUUCCCUCAGAGCAGGUGUUUGGUUUUCUUGCAGAGCAGCUGUGACUGCACUACGUUUUGCAGCAUGGAUGAGCAGCUGAUGUGGGUGUGCACAACAAAACAGCCCUUGGAAUUUCUGAACAAACAUCUCACACUUGGGCACUUUCAAUUUGCAGGGAACCUGAGUAAGAUCAUCCCUCUGUCCUCUUUUUCCUAUGUUCCUGUUCUUUUGUUGUAG
Molecule: long non-coding RNA, 969 nt
Filed under: Serinus canaria (Common canary)
Lineage: Eukaryota; Metazoa; Chordata; Aves; Passeriformes; Fringillidae
Description: lncRNA (ENSSCAG00000017079.1)
Source: RNAcentral